Mycena rosella is the source of this 92-nucleotide non-coding RNA. The record is from the annotation of a GenBank genome assembly. NCBI's taxonomy places the organism in Eukaryota, Fungi, Basidiomycota, Agaricomycetes, Agaricales, Mycenaceae.
GCGUACGUGGUGUAUGGAACACCGCUGCAUUGGAUAACCGUCUACUACUGCCUGCCCUGCAGCUGAUUGGGGUUCAACUCCCCGCGUACGCG